AUUGAACGCUGGCGGCAGGCCUAACACAUGCAAGUCGAGCGGAUGAAGGGAGCUUGCUCCUGGAUUCAGCGGCGGACGGGUGAGUAAUGCCUAGGAAUCUGCCUGGUAGUGGGGGAUAACGUCCGGAAACGGGCGCUAAUACCGCAUACGUCCUGAGGGAGAAAGUGGGGGAUCUUCGGACCUCACGCUAUCAGAUGAGCCUAGGUCGGAUUAGCUAGUUGGUGGGGUAAAGGCCUACCAAGGCGACGAUCCGUAACUGGUCUGAGAGGAUGAUCAGUCAAAAGGGAACAGAGGAAGGGUCCGAGAUCCGACGGGAGGGCGCAGGGGGGAAUAUUGGGAAAUGGGGGAAAGCCUGAACCAGCCAUGCCGGGGGUGUGAAGAAGGUUUUCGGAUUGGAAAGCACUUUAAGUUGGGAGGAAGGGCAGUAAGUUAAAACCUUGCUGGUUUGACGUUACCAACAGAAGAAGCAACGGCUAACUUCGU
This 483-nucleotide ribosomal RNA is filed under the name uncultured bacterium. RNAcentral's name for it is "partial 16S ribosomal RNA". It matches the Rfam family "Bacterial small subunit ribosomal RNA", at positions 29 to 506 of the family's 1533-position model. The record is from RNAcentral.